Molecule: long non-coding RNA, 258 nt
Organism: Homo sapiens (human)
Lineage: Eukaryota; Metazoa; Chordata; Mammalia; Primates; Hominidae
Exons: 3
Source: RefSeq, a predicted model, not a curated record
GCAAUGGAUGGAUGACUCACCUCUCAUAGGAAUGAUAGAACUUGGAUCAUCUUGUCAAUCACAGAGCUUGGUGGCCUUCUACAAAUGUUUGUGGAAUGAAUAAGUGAGAGAAUGAGAGAUUAAUAAAGCCAAUACUAUCACCAGUCCAACGAAGAGCUGCAACUGAAAAAAAAGUCUGACAAAAAAUGGCUAGUUCAAGUAGCAGUUUAUCCCAGACACGCAUCCGUGGAUAGGAGGGAGCUACACGCUUUCCUGAUA